GACGAACGCUGGCGGCGUGCCUAAUACAUGCAAGUUGAGCGCUGAAGGUUGGUACUUGUACCAACUGGAUUAGCAGCGAACGGGUGAGUAACGCGUGGGGAAUCUGCCUUUGAGCGGGGGACAACAUUUGGAAACGAAUGCUAAUACCGCAUAAAAACUUUAAACACAAGUUUUAAGUUUGAAAGAUGCAAUUGCAUCACUCAAAGAUGAUCCCGCGUUGUAUUAGCUAGUUGGUGAGGUAAAGGCUCACCAAGGCGAUGAUACAUAGCCGACCUGAGAGGGUGAUCGGCCACAUUGGGACUGAGACACGGCCCAAACUCCUACGGGAGGCAGCAGUAGGGAAUCUUCGGCAAUGGACGAAAGUCUGACCGAGCAACGCCGCGUGAGUGAAGAAGGUUUUCGGAUCGUAAAACUCUGUUGGUAGAGAAGAACGUUGGUGAGAGUGGAAAGCUCAUCAAGUGACGGUAACUACCCAGAAAGGGACGGCUAACUACGUG
This 497-nucleotide ribosomal RNA is filed under the name uncultured bacterium. Its description in RNAcentral is "partial 16S ribosomal RNA". It matches the Rfam family "Bacterial small subunit ribosomal RNA", at positions 28 to 507 of the family's 1533-position model. The record is from RNAcentral.